RNAcentral lists this unclassified non-coding RNA (212 nucleotides) under Hevea brasiliensis (rubber tree). Lineage: Eukaryota; Viridiplantae; Streptophyta; Magnoliopsida; Malpighiales; Euphorbiaceae. The record is from RNAcentral.
CUGAAAGGGAAAAAGCAAAAUCUGGAAGUAACCUAUUCAACUGACAAUAUCCAUACACUAUGUUGUCCUUUCUCUUGCUAAUUAAGAAUUGUCUUUUUUUUUUAUUAUUAUUAUUGUUUUGGGCCUCACAGUCACAAUGUAGCAUGACGGCCCUUGUACAAACGCAAAAUUUUGUAUCAGUACUUUUUUCUUAUCAGUAAAAACACUACCCG